This 484-nucleotide ribosomal RNA is filed under the name uncultured bacterium. RNAcentral describes it as "partial 16S ribosomal RNA". It matches the Rfam family "Bacterial small subunit ribosomal RNA", at positions 30 to 507 of the family's 1533-position model. The record is from RNAcentral.
AUUGAACGCUGGCGGCAGGCCUAACACAUGCAAGUCGAGCGGAUGAAGGGAGCUUGCUCCUGGAUUCAGCGGCGGACGGGUGAGUAAUGCCUAGGAAUCUGCCUGGUAGUGGGGGAUAACGUCCGGAAACGGGCGCUAAUACGGCAUACGUCCUGAGGGUGAAAGUGGGGGAUCUUCGGACCUCACGCUAUCAGAUGAGCCUAGGUCGGAUUAGCUAGUUGGUGGGGUAAAGGCCUACCAAGGCGACGAUCCGUAACUGGUCUGAGAGGAUGAUCAGUCACACUGGAACUGAGACACGGUCCAGACUCCUACGGGAGGCAGCAGUGGGGAAUAUUGGACAAUGGGCGAAAGCCUGAUCCAGCCAUGCCGCGUGUGUGAAGAAGGUCUUCGGAUUGUAAAGCACUUUAAGUUGGGAGGAAGGGCAGUAAGUUAAUACCUUGCUGUUUUGACGUUACCAACAGAAUAAGCACCGGCUAACUUCGUG